RNAcentral lists this long non-coding RNA (1224 nucleotides) under Zonotrichia albicollis (white-throated sparrow). RNAcentral's name for it is "lncRNA (ENSZALG00000010614.1)". The record is from RNAcentral. Lineage: Eukaryota; Metazoa; Chordata; Aves; Passeriformes; Passerellidae.
CUACACAUCAAAUAAUAAACUUGAGUUGUUGUGCCUUCACAACAACUCUGUGUUUGUCUUGCCAAAGACAUCUGAGUGGUUUGGUCCCAGUGGAGAAUGGAAAGGACCCCUCAGCCAAAUGGAAGUUGUGGGGCUGUCUAAUUCAGUGGUUUAAUCUCUCUUCACUCAGUCAGCUGAAAUGGCCUGAGGAUCACACAGAAUGGACAGGUCGAGUGAGGGACACCUGCUGAGCCAAGCUCCCAGUCCAUCCCAUCCUCCAAAUAAUCCCCACAAAACUCCUGCAGCACAAAACCGCAGCAGCAGUUUACCUUUUCCAAAAGGGGCCAGGAGAAAGGGAAAAGGGACAUGUUCACUACCAGGGGAUGGCCAAGAAAAUUUACAGCUUUCCAAGAGACCGUCAGUGUCACGAAUUAGAUACAGAAAUAGAGAUAAUCUUUAUUUCCAGAAAAGAGUUAUCCACCUGCACUUGAGAGCAGUGUGGGGCAUUAGCAGUGUAAAAUGACCUCGGGUCAAGGACGAACAGUAACAGCAUGUCUUACACAGAAACACAUCAACAGACUGGGGAGAAGUUGGCAAGACCUGCACUGGAUUCUAUAGAUAAAGAUGAUUUUACAGUGCCUAAAGCACUUUCAUAUAACCCUGUAGUGUCUGAUGAAGACUUUUUCUCUGGCAUUGAACAAUUAAUGAAAUUUAAAGCCUCUUGCCGUUGGAAAGUCACACAUGAUUUAUAAUACAAGUAGCUCCUUCUGCCUCCCAAGAUUAAAUGCAGGUAGUCACAGAAUUCUUUUUGAAUGCAAAAUAAUGGUGUUGUUAUAGCUGUGAUGUUCUAAAAAUAUAAAUAAGGUUACAAAUGUGAAAAAAAAAUAGUUGCCUCUUUCUGUAGAGCUUGCUGGAAGUUAUUUACAUUUCCUCCCUUCCCAGAACCAUACUCAGUUACCUCAGACUUGGACUAUGGCACAUACUAAAUCACAAAUGUGAAAACUAAGUUUGCAUCUGGCAUUCCUUCACUUCAGAAGGAAACACCACACAAGGUGUUUUCUUCAAACUUCUCUGCUCUGAGGUUCUAAGUGUGGCUGGUGUCCAUUCACUUGGACCUCUAUCAAGUAAUGACAUAAAGCCUGUGCUACUUGGCUGUUCUCUAAUAGCAGGAGCCUUAAAAAAUUAGUAAAAAAAGACAAAAAGGAUGAAACAAAAAGGAUGAAAUAAAAGAGAGAAAAGUUAUCA